Capsicum annuum is the source of this 722-nucleotide long non-coding RNA. RefSeq lists it as uncharacterized. The transcript is spliced from 3 exons. The record is from RefSeq and is a predicted model, not a curated record. Lineage: Eukaryota; Viridiplantae; Streptophyta; Magnoliopsida; Solanales; Solanaceae.
UGACCUAACUUCCCUCAAGUCUUAUAUCAGAUUUGGACUUUGCUUUUCCCUGACAAAAAGUGUGACUUUUUACUCGUCUUUUUUCUCUCCCUCAAUAUCCCUUCACCCUGUUCAAGCAAAUUUUCAUGGGUCUUUCACCGUGGCCAGAGAUUAGCUACCCUAUUUUUCUAUCAUUGUAUUCUCAAUCACAUAGCCUGUAAAACUAGCCAAAGACUUCAAUGUUCAACAACCCCAAACGUUAGAAUUUCAAUGGAAAAAAAAUUCAAGAUAGAAUAUAGGAUUUCAGCAUCUUUCAUUGGACAAUCUAUCAUGAGUAUAUCCAAGGCGACGUCUUAGUUCACUGCCCCACAAAAGGAGCGUGUUUGGAGUUACGAUUUAACUCCAUCUCUAUCCAAAUUAGAGAAGCGACUAAUAUGCAUCGUCCAAUCGUGUCUAGAAGGAUACUCCUUCCCAAAGAGUCCAUUACUUUCCUUUCUACUUCCAAGCUUUAUAUAUUUUUUUUCUUGCGAGACAUACUCACUGUUUUUUGAUUAAUGGUUUGUACAUUAUCAUCUUGUUAUUUAUAUUUGUACUUGCCUCAAUUAUGUUUGGAUUCGUGCUAACCAACUAGGAAAGAUAGUUCAACAUAGUCGUAUAUUUACCCACCUCUCAAGAAGAUGUAACAUUUAAAGUUUAGCUAUUUUUGAAUCCAAGGAAUAUACCCAAAUAGAAAUUUCCUUUUA